UUUGACUCUUUGUUUUAUUUGAAAUUUUUUUGCGAUUAAUAUUUUUAUUGUUACUAGAUGGUAAAACAUGAAUAGUACUUUAUGCAUAACUAAUUUUUAUAAAGUUUUUGUACAAAUUUUUCAAAUAAGACGAAUGGUCAAA
Molecule: microRNA precursor, 142 nt
Filed under: Oryza brachyantha (malo sina)
Lineage: Eukaryota; Viridiplantae; Streptophyta; Magnoliopsida; Poales; Poaceae
Description: MIR812 microRNA precursor family
Rfam family: MIR812 microRNA precursor family
Source: Rfam by way of RNAcentral